This 66-nucleotide transfer RNA is filed under the name Ursus maritimus (polar bear). Its description in RNAcentral is "tRNA-proline". It matches the Rfam family "tRNA". Rfam says of the family: Transfer RNA (tRNA) molecules are approximately 80 nucleotides in length. Their secondary structure includes four short double-helical elements and three loops (D, anti-codon, and T loops). Further hydrogen bonds mediate the characteristic L-shaped molecular structure. tRNAs have two regions of fundamental functional importance: the anti-codon, which is responsible for specific mRNA codon recognition, and the 3' end, to which the tRNAs corresponding amino acid is attached (by aminoacyl-tRNA synthetases). tRNAs cope with the degeneracy of the genetic code in two manners: having more than one tRNA (with a specific anti-codon) for a particular amino acid; and 'wobble' base-pairing, i.e. permitting non-standard base-pairing at the 3rd anti-codon position. Lineage: Eukaryota; Metazoa; Chordata; Mammalia; Carnivora; Ursidae. The record is from RNAcentral.
CAGGGAAUAGUUUAAAUAGAACACUAGCUUUGGGUGCUGGUAGUGGAGCUAUUACUUCUUCCUUGA